GACGAACGCUGGCGGCGUGCUUAACACAUGCAAGUCGAACGGUAAGGCCCUUCGGGGUACACGAGUGGCGAACGGGUGAGUAACACGUGGGUGAUCUGCCCUGCACUUCGGGAUAAGCCUGGGAAACUGGGUCUAAUACCGGAUAGGACCACUGCCUGCAUGGGUGGUGGUGGAAAGCUUUUGCGGUGUGGGAUGGGCCCGCGGCCUAUCAGCUUGUUGGUGGGGUGAUGGCCUACCAAGGCGACGACGGGUAGCCGGCCUGAGAGGGUGACCGGCCACACUGGGACUGAGAUACGGCCCAGACUCCUACGGGAGGCAGCAGUGGGGAAUAUUGCACAAUGGGCGCAAGCCUGAUGCAGCGACGCCGCGUGAGGGAUGACGGCCUUCGGGUUAUAAACCUCUUUCAGCACCGACGAAGCGCAAGUGACGGUAGUAGCAGAAGAAGGACCGGCCAACUACGUGCCAGCAGCCGCGGUAA
Molecule: ribosomal RNA, 478 nt
Filed under: uncultured bacterium
Lineage: Bacteria
Description: partial 16S ribosomal RNA
Rfam family: Bacterial small subunit ribosomal RNA
Source: RNAcentral